This 266-nucleotide ribosomal RNA is filed under the name uncultured Atopobium sp. Its description in RNAcentral is "partial 16S ribosomal RNA". It matches the Rfam family "Bacterial small subunit ribosomal RNA", at positions 89 to 355 of the family's 1533-position model. The record is from RNAcentral. Lineage: Bacteria; Bacillati; Actinomycetota; Coriobacteriia; Coriobacteriales; Atopobiaceae.
UAUAAAGUGGCGAACGGCUGAGUAACACGUGGGCAACCUGCCCUUUGCACUGGGAUAGCCUCGGGAAACCGAGGUUAAUACCGGAUACUCCAUAUUUGUCGCAUGGCGAAUAUGGGAAAGCUCCGGCGGCAAAGGAUGGGCCCGCGGCCUGUUAGCUAGUUGGUGGGGUAGUGGCCUACCAAGGCAAUGAUGGGUAGCCGGGUUGAGAGACCGACCGGCCAGAUUGGGAAUGAGACACGGCCCAGACUCCUACGGGAGGCAGCAGC